Nylanderia fulva is the source of this 314-nucleotide non-coding RNA. The record is from RefSeq and is a predicted model, not a curated record. Lineage: Eukaryota; Metazoa; Arthropoda; Insecta; Hymenoptera; Formicidae.
UAACAAAUACACUCGGUUUUUGGGGUAACGGUAGUCGCUUGCACAGGGAAAUUGCAGUCGAACAUAACCUAUUAACCUUCGGGCACAUGCCUGCAAACGUCGAGUGACAGCGUGAACAUUACGAUGUUUCGUUAUAGGACGAGAAAAACAGAAAGAAAAAAAUGGUCUUCAGACGAGCUCAGAGCAGCUAUCGGGGCAGUAAAAGCUGGAAUUCCCAUUCGUCAGGCUGUGACUGCAUUAAACGGGGACAUGUCUGCAAACGUCGAGUGACAGCGUAAACAUUACGAAAAAAAAUGUCUUUAGAACCAAAAUGG